Molecule: ribosomal RNA, 484 nt
Filed under: uncultured bacterium
Lineage: Bacteria
Description: partial 16S ribosomal RNA
Rfam family: Bacterial small subunit ribosomal RNA
Source: RNAcentral
AUUGAACGCUGGCGGCAUGCUUUACACAUGCAAGUCGAACGGCAGCGCGGGCUUCGGCCUGGCGGCGAGUGGCGAACGGGUGAGUAAUACAUCGGAACGUGCCCAGUAGUGGGGGAUAGCUCGGCGAAAGCCGGAUUAAUACCGCAUACGACCUGAGGGUGAAAGCGGGGGAUCUUCGGACCUCGCUCUAUUGGAGCGGCCGAUGGCAGAUUAGCUAGUUGGUGGGGUAAAGGCCUACCAAGGCGACGAUCUGUAGCUGGUCUGAGAGGACGACCAGCCAAACUGGGACUGAGACACGGCCCAGACUCCUAAGGGAGGCAGCAGUGGGGAAUUUUGGACAAUGGGCGAAAGCCUGAUCCAGCAAUGCCGCGUGUGUGAUGAAGGCCCUCGGGUUGUAAAGCACUUUUGGCGGGAACGAAAAGGACUGUGCCAAUACCACGGUUCGAUGACGGUACCCGCAGAAUAAGCACCGGCUAACUACGUG